AUUGAACGCUGGCGGCAUGCCUUACACAUGCAAGUCGAAUGGUAACAGGUCUUCGGAUGCUGACGAGUGGCGAGCGGGUGAGUAAUACAUCGGAACGUGCCUAGUAGUGGGGGAUAACUACUCGAAAGAGUGGCUAAUACCGCAUGAGAUCUACGGAUGAAAGCAGGGGAUCGCAAGACCUUGUGCUACUAGAGCGGCCGAUGGCAGAUUAGGUAGUUGGUGGGAUAAAAGCUUACCAAGCCGACGAUCUGUAGCUGGUCUGAGAGGACGAUCAGCAACACUUGGACUGAGAAACGGCCCAGAAUCCUACGGGAGGCAGCAUUGGGGAAUUUUGGACAAUGGGCGCAAGCCUGAUCCAGCAAUGCCGCGUGCAGGAUGAAGGCCUUCGGGUUGUAAACUGCUUUUGUACGGAACGAAAAGCCCCGGGUUAAUACCCCGGGGUCAUGACGGUACCGUAAGAAUAAGCACCGGCUAACUACGUGCCAGCCGCCGCCGUAA
Molecule: ribosomal RNA, 498 nt
Filed under: uncultured bacterium
Lineage: Bacteria
Description: partial 16S ribosomal RNA
Rfam family: Bacterial small subunit ribosomal RNA
Source: RNAcentral